RNAcentral lists this ribosomal RNA (500 nucleotides) under uncultured bacterium. RNAcentral describes it as "partial 16S ribosomal RNA". It matches the Rfam family "Bacterial small subunit ribosomal RNA", at positions 30 to 523 of the family's 1533-position model. The record is from RNAcentral.
AUUGAACGCUGGCGGCAUGCCUUACACAUGCAAGUCGAACGGCAGCACGGGAGCAAUCCUGGUGGCGAGUGGCGAACGGGUGAGUAAAGUAUCGGAACGUGCCCAGUCGUGGGGGAUAACGUAGCGAAAGUUACGCUAAUACCGCAUACGAUCUCUGGAUGAAAGCGGGGGAUCGCAAGACCUCGUGCGAUUGGAGCGGCCGAUAUCAGAUUAGGUAGUCGGUGGGGUAAAGGCUCACCAAGCCGACGAUCUGUAGCUGGUCUGAGAGGACGACCAGCCACACUGGGACUGAGACACGGCCCAGACUCCUACGGGAGGCAGCAGUGGGGAAUUUUGGACAAUGGGCGAAAGCCUGAUCCAGCCAUGCCGCGUGCAGGAUGAAGGCCUUCGGGUUGUAAACUGCUUUUGUACGGAACGAAAAGGUUUGGCCUAAUAAGCUGAGCUCAUGACGGUACCGUAAGAAUAAGCACCGGCUAACUACGUGCCAGCAGCCGCCGUAA